Long non-coding RNA from Etheostoma spectabile (orangethroat darter), 311 nucleotides. RefSeq lists it as uncharacterized. The transcript is spliced from 3 exons. The record is from RefSeq and is a predicted model, not a curated record. Lineage: Eukaryota; Metazoa; Chordata; Actinopteri; Perciformes; Percidae.
CCGGGGACACUGUCUGUCCAGGACAGAUGUCAUCCUGGAGGAGCCCUACCUCCAGUCAGUUUGCAAGUGCUGUAGUUACCGUUUGGACCCUGACAACCCAGUCCGUUUCCUCAGCCUUCAGUGUGAGAGUGGCGAGAGCGAGCCGAUCGUCCUGCCCGUCAUACACAGCUGUGAAUGCGCCAGCUGCCAAGAGGAAGCAGUGAAGUUAUGAUUCCAUCAGUCUCACUGUUUCUCUUCCUCACAGGACUUCUUUUCCAGACGUGUGUGUGUGUGUGUGUGUAUGUGGGUGUGAGUGGGUGGAUGGGUGUGGG